UGAGGAACUUGCCCCGGAGACCGGGAUAACCCUCCGAAAGGAGAGCUAAUACCGGAUGUCCUCACCGAGUCGCGUGGCUUGGUGAAGAAAUGGAUUCCGCUCCGGGAGAGCCUCGCGGCCUAUCAGCUUGUUGGUGGGGUAACGGCCCACCAAGGCGUCGACGGGUAGCUGGUCUGAGAGGACGAUCAGCCACACUGGGACUGAGACACGGCCCAGACUCCUACGGGAGGCAGCAGUGGGGAAUCUUGCGCAAUGGGCGAAAGCCUGACGCAGCAACGCCGCGUGCGGGAUGAAGGCCCUCGGGUUGUAAACCGCUUUCAGUGGGGACGAACCAAGACGGUACCCACAGAAGAAGCCCCGGCCAACUACGUGCCAGCAGCCGCGGUAACACGUAGGGGGCAAGCGUUGUCCGGAUUUAUUGGGCGUAAAGAGCUCGUAGGCGGUUCGGUAAGACGGGUGUGAAACCUCCAGGCUCAACCUGGAGACGCCACCCGAUACUGCUGUGACUAGAGUCCAGUAGGGGAGCGUGGAAUUCCUGGUGUAGCGGUGAAAUGCGCAGAUAUCAGGAGGAACACCAGUGGCGAAGGCGGCGCUCUGGGCUGGAACUGACGCUGAGGAGCGAAAGCGUGGGGAGCGAACAGGAUUAGAUACC
RNAcentral lists this ribosomal RNA (652 nucleotides) under uncultured bacterium. Its description in RNAcentral is "bacterial SSU rRNA". It matches the Rfam family "Bacterial small subunit ribosomal RNA", at positions 118 to 786 of the family's 1533-position model. The record is from RNAcentral.